Molecule: ribosomal RNA, 468 nt
Filed under: uncultured bacterium
Lineage: Bacteria
Description: partial 16S ribosomal RNA
Rfam family: Bacterial small subunit ribosomal RNA
Source: RNAcentral
GAUGAACGCUGGCGGCGUGCUUAACACAUGCAAGUCGAACGAUGAAGGCGGAGCUUGCUCUGCUGGAUCAGUGGCGAACGGGUGAGUAACACGUGAGCAAUCUGCCCCUGACUCUGGGAUAAGCGCUGGAAACGGCGUCUAAUACUGGAUACGAGCUGCGAAGGCAUCUUCAGCAGCUGGAAAGAACUUCGGUCAGGGAUGAGCUCGCGGCCUAUCAGCUUGUUGGUGAGGUAACGGCUCACCAAGGCGUCGACGGGUAGCCGGCCUGAGAGGGUGACCGGCCACACUGGGACUGAGACACGGCCCAGACUCCUACGGGAGGCAGCAGUGGGGAAUAUUGCACAAUGGGCGAAAGCCUGAUGCAGCAACGCCGCGUGAGGGACGACGGCCUUCGGGUUGUAAACCUCUUUUAGCAGGGAAGAAGCGAAAGUGACGGUACCUGCAGAAAAAGCGCCGGCUAACUACGUG